GCCCCUGUGGCGGAAUGGCAGACGCGGCAGACUCAAAAUCUGUUGCCGGCAACGGCGUGGGAGUUCGAGUCUCCCUGGGGGCACCA
Molecule: transfer RNA, 86 nt
Filed under: Rhodospirillales bacterium
Lineage: Bacteria; Pseudomonadati; Pseudomonadota; Alphaproteobacteria; Rhodospirillales
Also listed under: 3 other names
Description: tRNA-Leu
Rfam family: tRNA
About the family: Transfer RNA (tRNA) molecules are approximately 80 nucleotides in length. Their secondary structure includes four short double-helical elements and three loops (D, anti-codon, and T loops).
Source: RNAcentral